Molecule: transfer RNA, 71 nt
Filed under: Loxodonta africana (African savanna elephant)
Lineage: Eukaryota; Metazoa; Chordata; Mammalia; Proboscidea; Elephantidae
Rfam family: tRNA
About the family: Transfer RNA (tRNA) molecules are approximately 80 nucleotides in length.
Source: Rfam by way of RNAcentral
GCCUUGGUGGUACAGUGGUUAAGCGUUUGGCUGAGAACCAAAAGGUCAGCGGUUCGAACCCAGCAGAGGCU